UUAGAUAUGUAGCUCAGUGGUAAAGCACUUGCCUAGCCUGCAUGAAGCCUUGGGUUCAAUCCCCAGUACCAAAA
Molecule: transfer RNA, 74 nt
Filed under: Marmota monax (woodchuck)
Lineage: Eukaryota; Metazoa; Chordata; Mammalia; Rodentia; Sciuridae
Description: tRNA.Ala
Rfam family: tRNA (bases 8-68)
About the family: Transfer RNA (tRNA) molecules are approximately 80 nucleotides in length. Their secondary structure includes four short double-helical elements and three loops (D, anti-codon, and T loops).
Source: RNAcentral